GGGUCCGUGGUCGAAUCCGGCAAGGCGUCUGCCUGCAGAGCGGAAGAUUGUGGGUUCAAAUGUCCCACCGGGCCCU
This 76-nucleotide transfer RNA is filed under the name Candidatus Woesearchaeota archaeon. Its description in RNAcentral is "tRNA-Cys". It matches the Rfam family "tRNA". From Rfam's summary of the family: Transfer RNA (tRNA) molecules are approximately 80 nucleotides in length. Lineage: Archaea; Nanobdellati; Candidatus Woesearchaeota. The record is from RNAcentral.